RNAcentral lists this long non-coding RNA (3548 nucleotides) under Olea europaea subsp. europaea. Lineage: Eukaryota; Viridiplantae; Streptophyta; Magnoliopsida; Lamiales; Oleaceae. The record is from RNAcentral.
GUUUGCUUUAAUUUAGAUUAAAAUUUGAAUUUUAAUCUUUAUCGAACUGGGGCUAAAUAUGUUUGCUCGAAUUGCUGAAAUAUUUUUACAAUAAAUUAAAGGAAAAUUCUACUUGUACAUAAUUAUUGCACAUAAUGGUAUCCAUAAUUUGAUGUGUCAAUCAUCCGGUUGUUGAUGUGCAAAUGUAAUAUUUGAAUUAAAUGUUGAAUCCAAUGUCACGUGUAAUUAUGAACACCAUUAUGUAAAUAAUUAUGUACAUGUAGCACUACCUUAAAUUAAAACAGGAAAAAAAAUCCCUAAAACAUAAAAUUUAUUGGCCCAAGGGCCUCUGAGACUUUACAAAAGUCCAAUAUUCUCAUUCAUCCCCCAGAAGCCCAGUACGGCGACCUUUUCACCGUCCAGAUCAAGCAUUGGAUUUAGAUGGAACUGAACUGAAAAAUGGAGGAAAAACAGGAAAUCCCCGUAGGCGGUGGCGUUGUCAGUGGUGUAGCGGAGUACUGGUGGUGGGCCACCGCAAGCACGGGCCAAUUAACCUGGGCGGUUUCCAUUUAUAGAAAAGGCUACGCCGGCGACUGUCGUCUCAUGCCCUUUAAAGCCUUUGCUGUCGCUUCCCUCUUUAUUGGUGCCACCGCCACCGCCGCCGUUGCCUCCCUUCGCGCCUCUGGUAUCAAAUCCGUAUGUACUCUGGACUCUGUACUCUUGCUCUUUAUACAUUCAUUAAUAGAAGUUUAACUCUUGAGAGAAAUUUGUCUGAAAAGAAACGAUUAUUAUUGUUACGUUGGUAUGAUUUCAUAGAUGCAGUAAUAACUAAUCUAUGAUUAUUUUGCAUUAUCUAAAGAGUUAUUUUGGCUGCUUAUCUAGCAGUUGGAAUUGGUUACUUUUAUUUUUGCAAAAUUACACUUGCAAUGAUUAGUAGUGCAAAUUCUUUAGGAAUGGAUUAUCAAAGGGAAAACCUUUAAAGUUUAAUUUCUGCUGUCAUUCAAUUGAAAAACUAGUAACUUUUUGGGUUCGAUUAUAUAGUUCAACUUAUAAUUUGGUGAUUUAAAAGUUGUUAAGUCCUUAGAAUUUGACAUCUUUUGAAUCAGUAUAUGAUUUCUGAUAACAUAUAGAGGCUAUUUUAAGAAGAGAUCAUGGAAUGCUGAGUCCGAGGUAAUCAUCCCAAAUACGGAUGCUCUUACUUUAUACAUCUACUGGAUAGUAUAAAGAUCUAACUUCAGAGAGAAUUGAGUUUUAUGUAUCAUAUAAUAGAUUAGAGUAUGUAUUGGCUAACUUGUAGCAGCAUUUCACAAUAGACUAAAUAAAUUUGUUAGAGAAGCAGAAAUGGACUAAAUUAACUUGGGUUGUCUUGAUCACAAAGGAUUUUGAUUUCUUUAGAUCUUUAGAUAGAUGUAGUGUUUGACUGAUUGGAGUUGCGAAAUGGGAUCUGAAGCUGCUGUCUUCAGAUCUAUUGCUAAUAAAACUUAGUUUAUGGUGGUUUUGGAUGAGGGAGGGAGGGGGUGGUUGGUGCUCUACCAUUGCCAGGUUGCUGUUUUGGCCAAGGUGAGCUGAAAUUUUUUUUUUUUUUUAGGGUUAGUUCCAGGAAAGGUCUUUAUGAAAUUGAAAUUUUGGAAAAUGAUGCUAGUAGAGUUUCAAUUAUGUGCACAUAAUAUUAACCAAGUAUGGAAAUGCUGCACAUAAUAUUAACCAAGUAUGGAAAUGCUAUAACUGUUUGCAUAUUGAUCUAUGGUGUUGUAAAUUGCAUCAUUAAGUCGAGCAUUUUAAGUUUAUAUCUGAAACCUAAUGAAGAGUUUGGUAAUCAUGAACUUUACCGUAAUGAGAAGAUGUCUAUUUAGGUUGAGUUUCUUCUGUUUUGGUGUCUGAACUCUUCCUCAUUUCCAAAUUUCUCUGCUGCUCUGUUCUGCUGAAUUCAUAGGACUUGAGUUAUGGGAUACUAUCGUCAUUUUUUUUAUAAUAAAAAUUUGGAAUUUACCAAAAAACCAAAAGAAUUCUUCAUUUUCUGUCAUACAAAAGAAUUAAAUAAGGAAUAAAUAAAACCAGAUUCACUCUGGUAUGGCUCCACCAAAUCUGGACAAGCGGAUUUCACACAAACUAGCUUCUAUAUGGCUGGAGUUGGGCAUAUAAAAUUUCGUUACAAACAUCUAAGUACGCUCAUCCUUUAGUAAAAANNACUCAUUGUCCUGUAUUUCACAUGACAAACGGUAUUAACCACUUCAGUUCACUCAACCAUUCUACAGAAAUUUAAUUGAGUGAUCAUAAUUUGUAAACUAAAUAAAUAGACAAGGAGAAAUUCUAUAGCUACCAAUCCUUUUUAGGUAGUAAAAUUUGAAUGAUUUAGCAUUCAACAGAAAUAUGCUCAAUAAUGACAAUGAAAAAAAAAUAAAGAAAGAAAAGAGAGAAACACCAGCCUUGCUCCUAUCUUUUCUCCGUCUGAAAUGGUAGCAUCAGCUGUCUAUAUAUUUUCUCACGAUAAUUUCAAGUGAUCUUAUUAUCAGUUAAAAAAAAUUGUAGAAUAUAUGAGAGAUUAGCAAUUAUGUAUAGGAGCAAGCAUCAUCUUGGAUGAAAUUUUCUUCUCAUUUAGCUUCAACUUGCCUUGCAAUUAUAAGUAACUAUAUUUGAUUUUUCUCGGGGAGUUUUUUUAUUGCGUAACCACACCCUUCUUUAAAAUUUGUAGGUCGAAGACAUGAAGCUUGCUGGUACAAAUAUAAGGAACCGACUAGGAAUACGUCCAAGACCAUGAGAUGAGUAGAUGCAGCUUUUGAAGAUUCUUGUAUAUCUGUAGCUUCUUCUCAUUUUCACUGGCGCUGUUUUACAACCCGGUUUUGUUUUUAAAUCGUUUUCCAGCGUCAAUCUUUACUAUGGGAGACCAUCAACAUGCAGUAAAGAUGAAUUGCUUUGUAAAGCAGAGACUCUAUGCAACCAAAAACUUUAGUUAAUACUAGUCUUUGCCCGUGUAAUGCACGGCCUUGGACAUUUUAAAGCUAAUGUUAGUGUAUUCAAUGUAUAAGUAUUGACGGGAGAUACGUGCAUUGAUUGAACAAAGGCUAUUAUUUUUUAACAGGUUUAAAGUACUCGAAAGAAAUAACAUCACAAACUGUGGUUAUUUUCAAGGAUUCAAGAGCAUAACUGAAAGGAAGCAAAUUUAAACGCUAUUGUUCAACAAAAGUCAAAUCUUGAAAAUGUCUCUAAAAUAAAAAGUCAUCAAUGCAUUUAAACGACCAGAUUUAGGAAUCAUAUCUUGUCAUACAAAAAAAAUCGAAUUCAUCAAGCUUUAGUCAACUACAAUACCUUUCAGUCAUCUUAGCCAUGGCUCGUAGUUGUUUGCUUUAUCACUAGAUCUCACAAAUCCAUAGCUCUUUGUACAUCUAGAUAUCUGAUCCAUGCCAUACUCAGUAAUAAAAUGUAAAUAUUUAUCAUUAGUUACCCAUGUGACCUAAAUGUGUUUAUCCCUACAAAGGAGAUGUGAACUUACAAAUGGCUAUUUGUACCAAAGAAUUUAGAAAAAUCAAUCAGACAUUGUACCAAUAAAGUAAUUUCAUCAAACAAAUUUC